GACGAACGCUGGCGGCGUGCCUAAUACAUGCAAGUAGAACGCUGACGAGAGUAGCUUGCUCUUCUUGGAUGAGUUGCGAACGGGUGAGUAACGCGUAGGUAACCUGUCUUGUAGCGGGGGAUAAUUAUUGGAAACGAUAGCUAAGACCGCAUAAUAAUGGACGACACAUGUCAUUCAUUUGAAAUGGGCUAUUGCUCCACUACAAGAUGGACCUGCGUUGUAUUAGCUAGUAGGUGAGGUAAUUGCUCACCUAGGCGACGAUACAUAGCCGACCUGAGAGGGCUAUCGCCAUCGCUGGGACUAAGACACGGCCAAAAAACAUACGGAAGGAAGCAGAAGCGAAUCUUCAGAAAAGGGAGCAAUCCUGACCGUGCCACGCCGCGUGAGUGAAGAAGGUAUUCGGGUAGUACGGCUGUGUUAUAACUCAAGACUGGAUGUGUGAGUGGAAAGUUAAGACUGUGACGGUAGCGUACGAGAAAGGGACGGCUAACUACGUG
This 497-nucleotide ribosomal RNA is filed under the name uncultured bacterium. RNAcentral's name for it is "partial 16S ribosomal RNA". It matches the Rfam family "Bacterial small subunit ribosomal RNA", at positions 28 to 507 of the family's 1533-position model. The record is from RNAcentral.